UGGGGAAUAUUGCACAAUGGGCGAAAGCCUGAUGCAGCGACGCCGCGUGCGGGAUGAAGGCCUUCGGGUUGUAAACCGCUUUUAAUUGGGAGCAAGCGAGAGUGAGUGUACCUUUUGAAUAAGCACCGGCUAACUACGUGCCAGCAGCCGCGGUAAUACGUAGGGUGCAAGCGUUAUCCGGAAUUAUUGGGCGUAAAGAGCUCGUAGGCGGUUUGUCACGCCUGGUGUGAAAGUCCAUCGCUUAACGGUGGAUCUGCGCCGGGUACGGGCAGGCUAGAGUGCAGUAGGGGAGAUUGGAAUUCCCGGUGUAACGGUGGAAUGUGUAGAUAUCGGGAAGAACACCAAUGGCGAAGGCAGAUCUCUGGGCUGUUACUGACGCUGAGGAGCGAAAGCAUGGGGAGCGAACAGGAUUAGAUACCCGUGGUAGUCCAUGCCGUAAACGGUGGAUGCUGGAUGUGGGACCCUUCCACGGGUUCCGUGUCGGAGCUAACGCGUU
RNAcentral lists this ribosomal RNA (496 nucleotides) under uncultured bacterium. RNAcentral's name for it is "partial 16S ribosomal RNA". It matches the Rfam family "Bacterial small subunit ribosomal RNA", at positions 355 to 861 of the family's 1533-position model. The record is from RNAcentral.